CAAAUACAUAAAUAAAUCAUUAUAAACCCAUGUGGCAAGUACAUGGGGCACCCAACGCACAGCAAUUUGCUCACUAAAGUAGGUGACAGAGGGGGCAACAUUGGGGCGAAGAGCUUGAAGAAAAUGGUGACGGUGUGGACGGUUAUUAAGGGGAAUCAUUCAGAGGACCAGGUCAAGUGGUUGCUGAGUGACACCAAAUGCCCCGCUGAGGCUGGGCCCCAGGCCAAUCUACAGGCCACUUGAUUUUUCUCCAGCAGGGCUCAGCUAUGAAGGCAUAUUGUGGGACUGUGGUCAGAAAGUGAAGCAUUGGAAGUGAAGAUUUCAGAAGAGGAGCUGCUCUGGGAACAAACACAGGGUCCAGCAUGUGCCCUGGGAAUGGACAGCAGACCAGGAGCCAAGGCAGGAGUCACAGGAAUUACAGAGGCACAGGGACUCCCCCUGUGGUAGGACAGCGGUUCCUGCAGACACUGCUGUCCUGGGACUGAAGUGGUUACGGCAGGAGUGGAAAGAAGGAAACUUGCCCUACUCCAUAGAAGCAGCAAGUCAUACGUUUUUAAAAAGAAACUCCGGUGGCAACGCAAGGAAUAGAUUGUAAAUGUGGAAGCUAGGGCCCAGGAAGCUGAGCGAGAGAUCAUGCAACAUUCCAGGCAAACCAUGAGAAGGGCCCGAUAGGAGGGGCAAUGAGGAGAAGCUGCAGAGACCAGACCUGAGAGGUACUGAGGAAGCAGAAUCAGUGGAGCAUGAUGCCGAAGUGAUUCCUGGAGACUCUGCCAGCAAGGCUCUUCCUCUAGCCACUGUAGUACCAAAGUAAAGGAGCACCAUGCUUGAACAUAUGGGUGCUCUCUCUCUCUAGGGACUUUAGAUCCUGAGCAAGCGACCACAUGGGUAGAAGCAACACAGUUAAUUCAUCCAAGCACGAAGAACCUGACCCAGACUAUUUCUACCACAAGAUUCUCCCUUCCAGCUUGGCUAUCUGUAAGUUUGAGAAGUCAACCUACCAAGUGACUAUUGACAUCUCCCUCCAGGAGAAUUUCAGUCCAUUGUUACUGAUUGGCAGAGUGCUUUGAGAUAUAACAGACGUGGUAAAUGAACUGAAAUGACAUCAAUUGAAAAAAAAUGUUACAAUUUCAUCUAACUUUUGUCCAGCUUCCAUUUCUACUUUUUGUUCUUUCCAUUGGAACUCAAGUACACACAACUGGACUGAGUAUUGUCCUUGGUUUAUGACACACCCUCACUAUUGGUCUAUAAAUGGCUUGUUUUUACUUAGUUAUUUUAAAUAAUAUAAGCACCUGUGAAUGCACCAGAUCCAAACAAAAACGAGGAUCCUGACAAUAACCUUGACAUAUGGUCCCGCCCCAUCACAUCCUCUUGACUCCACCUGACCAAGAUAAUCAUUCUUAAUCCUCUGUCCAUCAGCUCUGUGCCCUCCUUUCAAAAUAAGUUCUAUUGCGUCUAUGUGUGCUUCUAAAAGAUGUGUUUUCAUAAAACUUGAGUUACUUUAGAAAUUAUAAAAAGGAAAUGAGGCCAGGCUUGGUGGCUCAUGCCUGUAAUCUCAGCACUUUGGGAGGCUGAGGUGGGUGGAGGGCUUGAGCCCAGGAGUUUUAGACCAGCCUCGGUAACAUGGCAAAAUCCCGUCUCCACAAAAAAUACAAAAAAAAAAACAAAUGCCAGACAUGGUGUAGUGCCUGUAGUCCCAGCUACUCAGGAGACUGAGUUAAGAGGACCACAAGAGCCCAGGAAAGUUGAGGCUGCAGUGAGCCAUGAUCAUGCCAUUGCACUCCAGCCUGGGCAACAGAGUGAGACCCCCCACCCCAAAAAAAGGAUAUGAUAUUGUAUGUAAGUUUUUCAGACUUACUUUUUUCCAGCAAGUAUUAUUGUUAAAGUUAUUCAUAUUAUUGUUUAUGGUUGAGUUCAUUUAUUUUUAUUGCUGGAUAAUAUUUCGCUGUGUAAAUAGACCACAAUUAUCCAUUCACUUUUCCAUUAAUGGACAUUGAGUUAUUUUCAGGUUUUGCUAAUGUGAAAAAUGCUGCUAGGAGUGUUUUUAUUCAAAUCUCCUGUUUUAUGUGCAUGAGAGUUUCUUUUGAAUAUAAACCUAAUGGUGGAAUUGCUGGGUAAUAGGGUAUGUGGAUGUCCAAUUUUAGGGGAGAAGGCCAAGCCAUUUUCCAAUGUGUUUCACAAACAUACAUCCCUAUGAGUAUAAGAGGGUUUUUUUAGUUUUUUUUUUUUAGACAGAGUCUUACUCUGUCGCCCAGGCAAUGGUGCCAUCUUGGCUCACUGCAAUCUCCGCCUCCCGGGUUCAAGCGAUUCU
This 2308-nucleotide long non-coding RNA is filed under the name Homo sapiens (human). RNAcentral's name for it is "HSALNT0023103". The record is from RNAcentral. Lineage: Eukaryota; Metazoa; Chordata; Mammalia; Primates; Hominidae.